RNAcentral lists this ribosomal RNA (410 nucleotides) under uncultured marine eukaryote. Its description in RNAcentral is "SSU rRNA". It matches the Rfam family "Eukaryotic small subunit ribosomal RNA", at positions 1 to 471 of the family's 1831-position model. The record is from RNAcentral.
AACCUGGUUGAUCCUGCCAGUAGUCAUAUGCUUGUCUCAAAGACUAAGCCAUGCACGUCUAAGUACAAACUAAAUGAUGGUGAAACUGCAAAUGGCUCAUUACAACGGUUAUGAUGUACCCGGGAGUUCCGAUGGAUAUUUCCAGUAACACUAGAACUAAUACAUGCUCCUGCGUUUAUUAGUUUCGCACAGUCCGUCGCUGAGUCAUGGUAAACAGUUGAUCGACUCGACGUCCCGGAACAGUUUCCGCCCCAUCAGCUUCGAUGGUUGGGUAUUGGCCUACCAUUGCAACAACGGGUAACGAGGAAUUAGGGUUUGAUUUCGGAGAGGGAGCCUGAGAAACGGCUACCACAUCUACGGAUGGCAGCAGGCGCGCAAAUUACCCAAUGCAGACACUGUGAGGUAGUGAC